RNAcentral lists this ribosomal RNA (399 nucleotides) under uncultured bacterium. RNAcentral's name for it is "bacterial SSU rRNA". It matches the Rfam family "Bacterial small subunit ribosomal RNA", at positions 362 to 776 of the family's 1533-position model. The record is from RNAcentral.
UAUUCCGCAAUGGGCGAAAGCCUGACGGAGCAAUGCCGCGUGGAGGUAGAAGGCCUACGGGUCAUGAACUUUUUUUCCCGGAGAAGAAAAAAUGACGGUAUCCGGGGAAUAAGCAUCGGCUAACUCUGUGCCAGCAGCCGCGGUAAGACAGAGGAUGCAAGCGUUAUCCGGAAUGAUUGGGCGUAAAGCGUCUGUAGGUGGCUUUUUAAGUUCUCCGUCAAAUCCCAGGGCUCAACCCUGGACAGGCGGUGAAAACUACCAAGCUAGAGUACGGUAGGGGCAGAGGGAAUUUCCGGUGGAGCGAUGAAAUGCGUAGAGAUCGGAAGGAACACCAACGGCGAAAGCACUCUGCUGGGCCGACACUGACACUGAGAGGCGAAAGCUAGGGGAGCGAAUGGG